GAUGAAGAACGCAGCGAAAUGCGAUAAGUAAUGUGAAUUGCAGAAUUCAGUGAAUCAUCGAAUCUUUGAACGCACAUUGCGCCCGCCAGUAUUCUGGCGGGCAUGCCUGUUCGAGCGUCAUUACAACCCUCAGGCCCCCGGGCCUGGCGUUGGGGAUCGGCGGAAGCCCCCUGCGGGCAAACGCCGUCCCCCAAAUACAGUGGCGGUCCCGCCGCAGCUUCCAUUGCGUAGUAGCUAACACCUCGCAACUGGAGAGCGGCGCGGCCACGCCGUAAAACACCCAACUUCUGAAUGUUGACCUCGAAUCAGGUAGGAAUACCCGCUGAACUUAAGCAUAUCAAUAAGCGGAGGA
This 352-nucleotide unclassified non-coding RNA is filed under the name soil metagenome. Its description in RNAcentral is "partial contains 5.8S ribosomal RNA, internal transcribed spacer 2, and large subunit ribosomal RNA". The stretch from base 1 to 120 matches the Rfam family "5.8S ribosomal RNA", at positions 35 to 154 of the family's 154-position model. The record is from RNAcentral.